Molecule: ribosomal RNA, 1194 nt
Filed under: Paenibacillus soyae
Lineage: Bacteria; Bacillati; Bacillota; Bacilli; Caryophanales; Paenibacillaceae
Description: partial 23S ribosomal RNA
Rfam family: Bacterial large subunit ribosomal RNA
Source: RNAcentral
GGUUAAGCUAGUAAGAGCGCACGGAGGAUGCCUAGGCACCAGGAGCCGAAGAAGGACGUGGCGAACAACGAUACCGCCUCGGGGAGCCGUAAGCAGGCUUUGAUCCGGGGAUUUCCGAAUGGGGAAACCCAGCUGGGGUAAUGCCCAGUUACUCUCAACUGAAUACAUAGGUUGGGUAGAGGCAUACCGGGGGAACUGAAACAUCUAAGUACCCCGAGGAAGAGAAAACAAAAGUGAUUCCGUCAGUAGCGGCGAGCGAACGCGGAUUAGCCCAAACCAAGAGGCUUGCCUCUUGGGGUUGUAGGACGUCUCACAUGGAGUUACAAAGGUGUUGGUUAGGCGAAGAGGUCUGGAAAGGCCCGCUAGAAGAGGUAAAAGCCCUGUAACCAAAAGCCAGCACCCUCCGAGACGGAUCCUGAGUACGGCGGGACACGUGAAACCCCGUCGGAAUCCGGCAGGACCAUCUGCCAAGGCUAAAUACUCCCUGGUGACCGAUAGUGAAGCAGUACCGUGAGGGAAAGGUGAAAAGCACCGCGGGAGCGGAGUGAAAAAGAACCUGAAACCGUGCGCUUACAAGAAGUCAGAGCCCUCUAUAUGGGUGAUGGCGUGCCUUUUGUAGAAUGAACCGGCGAGUUACGAUCACGUGCAAGGUUAAGUUGAAGAGACGGAGCCGCAGCGAAAGCGAGUCUGAAUAGGGCGCCAUAGUACGUGGUCGUAGACCCGAAACCGUGUGAUCUACCCCUGUCCAGGGUGAAGGUGCGGUAACACGCACUGGAGGCCCGAACCCACGAAUGUUGAAAAAUUCGGGGAUGAGGUGGGGGUAGCGGAGAAAUUCCAAUCGAACUCGGAGAUAGCUGGUUCUCCCCGAAAUAGCUUUAGGGCUAGCCUCGGUUAUGAGUGUCGUGGAGGUAGAGCACUGAUUGGGUGCGGGGCCCGCCAAGGGUUACCAAGUCUAGUCAAACUCCGAAUGCCAUCGACAUGCUUACCGGGAGUCAGACAGUGAGUGCUAAGAUCCAUUGUCAAGAGGGAAACAGCCCAGAUCAUCAGCUAAGGUCCCCAAGUGUGUGUUAAGUGGGAAAGGAUGUGGAGUUGCAAAGACAACCAGGAUGUUGGCUUAGAAGCAGCCACCAUUUAAAGAGUGCGUAAUAGCUCACUGGUCGAGUGACUCUGCGCCGAAAAUGUAACGGGGCUAAA